CCUGCCCCUCGCCCCUCCUCCCCCCUCCCCGCCGGCCCGGCCGAGCCCCGCCGCGGGGCGUGUGUGCGCCCGGAGAGACUGCAGAGGCCGGGGGACUCGUGCUGAAGGAGAGAGGCAACAAAAAAUAAAAAAAGGAACAGAUGACUUCAUUCUCGGGAAGGCUCCGUCCUACGUGGACCAAUUUCCUGGGGACUGUGGUGGAACAGCUCGGCUGCCGUUGGAAGCACUUAAAACUAAACCAGAUAAAGACCAGAAAAUUCUCAGCAUUGCCUGAGCCGAGCAAGGGUGGGCAAACUGAGGCCCAGAGAGGGGAAGAAACUUGACAGAGAUCUGCCACUGGUUAAAGACGGAACCUGGACCAGGACCCAGGAGCCUCGCCUUCCUUUAGAGUGCUCAGGACCCCGACUCUGAUCCUUGUGUAGAAUUAUCUGCAUGCUCAGAAGUUCAGGAGCUGGGGGGCAGGAGGAUCUGAAGUCAGACUGCACAUCUACGUGAGACCCAGGACAAAUAAAUUCUUCUCUCUGGGCGCCCACGGUCUUAUGUGUUAAGUGGGGAUGACAGUACCAGCCCUGGGUUGUCUUAAGGAAUAAAGAUGCUCCAAGAAAAGUCCUGGGACUAACCCUGGAACAUACUAAUA
This is a long non-coding RNA of Neogale vison (American mink), 637 nucleotides long. RefSeq lists it as uncharacterized. Lineage: Eukaryota; Metazoa; Chordata; Mammalia; Carnivora; Mustelidae. The record is from RefSeq and is a predicted model, not a curated record. The transcript is spliced from 2 exons.